This is a regulatory RNA element of Treponema pedis str. T A4, 123 nucleotides long. It matches the Rfam family "TD-1 RNA". Rfam says of the family: non coding RNA found in Treponema denticola NCBI's taxonomy places the organism in Bacteria, Pseudomonadati, Spirochaetota, Spirochaetia, Treponematales, Treponemataceae. The record is from Rfam.
UUUAAACUGGCUAGUUUGCCUUGCAAACUCAAUUAUUAUAUGCCGUUUCUCAUUGCAUUACGAAACGGCGGAAAUUCAUCAAUGCUCGAUUUUUGAUAAAAUCUGCGCUUGAUGAAUUUAUAA